CGGCGCAUUAGCUAGUUGGUGAGGUAACGGCUCACCAAGGCGACGAUGCGUAGCCGACCUGAGAGGGUGAUCGGCCACACUGGGACUGAGACACGGCCCAGACUCCUACGGGAGGCAGCAGUAGGGAAUCUUCCGCAAUGGACGAAAGUCUGACGGAGCAACNCCGCGUGAGUGAAGAAGGUCUUCGGAUCGUAAAGCUCUGUUGUUAGGGAAGAACAAGUAUCGGAGGAAAUGCCGGUACCUUGACGGUACCUGACGAGAAAGCCACGGCUAACUACGUGCCAGCAGCCGCGGUAAUACGUAGGUGGCAAGCGUUGUCCGGAAUUAUUGGGCGUAAAGCGCGCGCAGGCGGUCCUUUAAGUCUGAUGUGAAAUCUUGCGGCUCAACCGCA
This 391-nucleotide ribosomal RNA is filed under the name uncultured bacterium. RNAcentral describes it as "bacterial SSU rRNA". It matches the Rfam family "Bacterial small subunit ribosomal RNA", at positions 234 to 617 of the family's 1533-position model. The record is from RNAcentral.